RNAcentral lists this ribosomal RNA (253 nucleotides) under uncultured bacterium. Its description in RNAcentral is "partial 16S ribosomal RNA". It matches the Rfam family "Bacterial small subunit ribosomal RNA", at positions 524 to 776 of the family's 1533-position model. The record is from RNAcentral.
UACAGAGGGUGCGAGCGUUAAUCGGAAUUACUGGGCGUAAAGGGCGUGUAGGCGGAUACAUAAGUCAGCUGUAAAAUACCUAGGCUUAACUUAGGGAGGUCGGAUGAAACUGUGUGUCUAGAGUGGAGUAGAGGGUAGUGGAAUUUCCGGUGUAGCGGUGAAAUGCGUAGAUAUCGGAAGGAACACCAGUGGCGAAGGCGGCUACCUGGACUCAAACUGACGCUGAGGCGCGAAAGCGUGGGGAUCGAACAGG